CCUACGGGUGGCUGCAGUGGGGGAUAUUGCACAAUGGGGGAAACCCUGAUGCAGCGACGCCGCGUGGGCGAAGAAGUAUUUCGGUAUGUAAAGCCCUAUCAGCAGGGAAGAAGAAAUGACGGUACCUGAGUAAGAAGCACCGGCUAAAUACGUGCCAGCAGCCGCGGUAAUACGUAUGGUGCAAGCGUUAUACGGAGUUACUGGGUGUAAAGGGAGCGCAGGCGGCACGGCAAGCCUGAUGUGAAAGCCCGCGGCCCAACCGCGGGACUGCAUUGGGAACUACCGGGCUGGAGUACUGGAGAGGCAGACGGAAUUCCUAGUGUAGCGGUGAAAUGCGUAGAUAUUAGGAGGAACACCAGUGGCGAAGGCGGUCUGCUGGACAGCAACUGACGCUGAGGCGCGAAAGCGUGGGGAGCAAACAGGAUUAGAUACCCGGGUAGUC
RNAcentral lists this ribosomal RNA (442 nucleotides) under uncultured bacterium. Its description in RNAcentral is "partial 16S ribosomal RNA". It matches the Rfam family "Bacterial small subunit ribosomal RNA", at positions 338 to 795 of the family's 1533-position model. The record is from RNAcentral.